Molecule: transfer RNA, 74 nt
Organism: Culex pipiens (northern house mosquito)
Lineage: Eukaryota; Metazoa; Arthropoda; Insecta; Diptera; Culicidae
Rfam family: tRNA
About the family: Transfer RNA (tRNA) molecules are approximately 80 nucleotides in length. Their secondary structure includes four short double-helical elements and three loops (D, anti-codon, and T loops). Further hydrogen bonds mediate the characteristic L-shaped molecular structure. tRNAs have two regions of fundamental functional importance: the anti-codon, which is responsible for specific mRNA codon recognition, and the 3' end, to which the tRNAs corresponding amino acid is attached (by aminoacyl-tRNA synthetases). tRNAs cope with the degeneracy of the genetic code in two manners: having more than one tRNA (with a specific anti-codon) for a particular amino acid; and 'wobble' base-pairing, i.e. permitting non-standard base-pairing at the 3rd anti-codon position.
Source: Rfam
GCCCGUGUGGGUCAACCAGACCGCGCUUUGGACUUACAAUCCAGAGGUUGCUGGUUUGAAUCCCGCGGCGGGCG